This is a long non-coding RNA of Capra hircus (goat), 1952 nucleotides long. RefSeq lists it as uncharacterized. NCBI's taxonomy places the organism in Eukaryota, Metazoa, Chordata, Mammalia, Artiodactyla, Bovidae. The record is from RefSeq and is a predicted model, not a curated record. The transcript is spliced from 6 exons.
GGAAGAAUGCUCGAUUAGACUGCAUUUUGCCCUGCUUUUCUCUCUCUCUCUUCCCUUUCUUUCUUUCUCUUUCUUGUCUCUCUCUCUUUUCUUUCUGCCAGAAGAUUGGAAACAAUAUCUUUUUCCGAUCAGUUCAGUAAUACAAUGUCCUUCAGUGUUCACACGAGCAUUUCAGUGGAGAAGAAAAGAAACUUUGCUACCUGGGAACAGAAGACUACUUAGGUCUGCUAAUAAAGUCCUUAGGACUUCUGGAGCCAGAAGUUAAACUUUUCUCAACUGUUAAGAGAUGUUGGUGUCCCACAUCCUGUUGGUCUCCCACAUCCUGUUGGUCUCAUCUCUCCAGGACUGUGGCCCUUCAGGAAAAAUUCCCUACUGAAGGGGAAGCAACAGCCUAGAGGACCUCUUAGAAAGGACCGCAUCAUCAGCUAAGGAGGAAAAGUAACAAAGAACUUGAGGACUUUCAUGGCUCCCAGGCCCUGGAUGGAGACCGGCGGCAUCAGGCAGCUUCAGACAGAGAACCGUGGAAGCUGAGGGGCAGCCGGGAUGCGCCUGGGGCUGCAAAGCCCAGACUUGUCUUUGGAAAAGACUCAGAAGAGCCCGUUAACUUGGCUUCCUCACUUCUGCUCAUCAUACGCGGGUGAAUGGUUUGAAGAUGCUGGCCUAGCAAGAUGGCAACAGGUUUAAAAAAUAGGAUUCAUAAGAAGUUCCUUUUCUCAGUGUGCUCAUCACACCGCUGGCCUCCAAUCAGAGCAUGAACACGUGUCCCGGAGGCCGUCCAAGCAGAGAUUUCAGCAGUGGUACCUGUUGGCCGACUCAUGGGGCCCUUUCCCUUUCCUGUUCCCUGGAGGCGGUAAACUGGGCUGAACACAAUAUCCUUGUAUAUUUCCCAUCAUCCUCCCAACAUGCUUCACCUCUCCCAGACUCCUAGGGUUAAUCCCCAAGACAACCUUGCUUUGAAAGAAAAAAUGUGGUGAGCCUACUUGAAGAUUUGGAUCCCAGAGGCCUCUUCUCUGUCCUGCCUCAGCCAGACACGGGGCAAAGAGACGGACGUUUACAGAGAAAGAAGCAGUAAGUUCUUAUUGUUGCUUUUUUUCAAUGUUUGAUUGCUCUCUAGAUUUAGGGUCCUUGAAAGUAGUGGGCUUUUCUUUUCUUCUUUUUCUCUCCUCUCUCUCUUUUUUUCUUUCUUCCUCUGCAGAAAUUAAUCAUAUCCCCUUCCCAUCCUGUGGGUGAUUCAUAAAAGCAAUCGCAUUAGAAAGUGCUUCUCCGUUGCUGCUCGUAGCCUGGGUUAAAGAUAUCUGAAGUUGAUCUGUGUGUGCCUGUUCGCAGUACUGUAAUAUUUGGAAAUGUAUCUGCAUUUGUAAAAAUGGUUUGCACUGAUGAUUCUUCCCUAGAAGAAACACUACAUAGCUGGCUGAUUGAUUGUAAUGAUGAUGAAUUUGUCCCAGGACUGGCAUGGAUGUCUUCUUUGGGGAUUUUUGUGCCUAUUUGCUGCUCAUCAAAGGGAAGCGCAGACCGAGUUUGGAAUGAGGGUGUGGUCCGCCCGAUUCAGCUUCCUUCCCGGCCCAUCUCUGACUCCUGCCUCCUGCUUCUCCCCUCCCACCCUGGCUCCUCCGAUCCUUCCUGAGACUGCCAGUGAAACGGCAUCCACCUUUCUUUUCCCUUACUGCCUGUGUUGUGCUCCAUCGGGUCAGAGACCACUCCCCGUGAUCAAACUCAUCAUGUUUGUGAUCUCAGCAUAUUUUCAAUCCAACUGAAAUCAACUCCCUUAGCUUCUUCCAUCCUGGGAUUAUUCAUCAACAUAGUAAGAGCAGUAGUAAUACUGUAUUUAGAAGUUCCUUAGCCCAUUGCAUCUCUGAGAGUCUUACAGAUGUUACUAAUUAAUCUUCACAACACCCCAUCCAGGAGUGGUAAAUACUAUUAACCAUAAUAGAAUAUACACACACACGUGCUCG